AGUGAACGCUGGCGGUAGGCCUAACACAUGCAAGUCGAACGGCAGCACAGUAAGAGCUUGCUCUUACGGGUGGCGAGUGGCGGACGGGUGAGGAAUACAUCGGAAUCUACUUUUUCGUGGGGGAUAACGUAGGGAAACUUACGCUAAUACCGCAUACGACCUACGGGUGAAAGCAGGGGAUCUUCGGACCUUGCGCGAUUGAAUGAGCCGAUGUCGGAUUAGCUAGUUGGCGGGGUAAAGGCCCACCAAGGCGACGAUCCGUAGCUGGUCUGAGAGGAUGAUCAGCCACACUGGAACUGAGACACGGUCCAGACUCCUACGGGAGGCAGCAGUGGGGAAUAUUGGACAAUGGGCGCAAGCCUGAUCCAGCCAUGCCGCGUGGGUGAAGAAGGCCUUCGGGUUGUAAAGCCCUUUUGUUGGGAAAGAAAAGCAGCAGGUUAAUACCCCGCUGUUCUGACGUUACCCAAAGAAUAAGCACCGGCUAACUUCGUG
This 492-nucleotide ribosomal RNA is filed under the name uncultured bacterium. RNAcentral describes it as "partial 16S ribosomal RNA". It matches the Rfam family "Bacterial small subunit ribosomal RNA", at positions 29 to 507 of the family's 1533-position model. The record is from RNAcentral.